This is a non-coding RNA of Phrynosoma platyrhinos (Desert horned lizard), 73 nucleotides long. The record is from the annotation of a GenBank genome assembly. Lineage: Eukaryota; Metazoa; Chordata; Lepidosauria; Squamata; Phrynosomatidae.
GGCAGCAUGAUGUAGUGGUUUGGCAUAGUGGAGUGCGACUCUGGAGUCCAGGGUUCAGUUCCCUGCUCAGCCA